GCCUCGGCCUCCCAAAGUGCUGGGAUUACAGGCGUGAGCCACCGCGCCCGGCCUUUUUUUGUGUUUUGUUCAUACUACUUAUCACCUUCUAGCAUACUAUAAAAUUCACUUUUAUUAUGCUUAUUAUUUACUAUUUCUCCCACGGGGGAAUAAAAUAAAACACUUUGGAUGUGUUUUUUUUUCCACUCAGGGGAGUGCAAGUUUACAAGAACAGAGAUCUUUGUUUUAUUCCCCAAAAGAGUAUCUUUUGAUAUUGGUUUUCAGCAAAAAUUUGCUGAAGGAAUAAAGUGAAUGAAUCAAUCAGUGAGAACUCUCAUUGUUAUUUGUAGGGGCAUAUGCAAAGUGUCACUGAAAGCUGUGUGUUUGAGUCUCCCAAGUAAGUCCAGGAAAGAUUAGCCUGAAGUCUGAUUUAAUUAUCUUUAAUUGUGUUAUUAUUAGGUGUCUUAGAUUGGAAGACAGUCUGAGUGAAAGAUGAUGCCUUUGACUUCAUUUUUGGUGAAGAGUUUAGUCUUUUAAAACUACAUGCAAUAAUAUAGUAUGAUUUUGAGCAAGGGCUCUGGAGCCAUUGUUCUUGGGUCAAAAAGAGAUCAGUUUCUUACUACUUAUGUGAAGGGCAAGUGACUUAAACUUUGCUGUUUCAGAUUUCUCAACUAUAAAACGCUGAAACUAAGAGUACUUACCCGACAUAUUACUGUGAAGAAGAAAUGAGCAAAGAGCUUAGAACAGAGCUUGGCACAUAAGAACUGCUUGAUAAUGAUCAGAUGUUAGCAUGAUUAGUACUUGGAGGGAGGCAGCUUUGUUUCAUGAAAAGAACAUCACAUUGGUUUUAAGACUGAGAUCUAAGUCUGUCUUUAUUACUAAUUAGUUGCAUGGAAUUGAGCAAGUCAUUUAAUGACUCUGCUUUUAUUAGAAAACAAAAGAGUAAUACCAUAUUACAUCUAAGACCUCUUCUUGCUCUAAAAGCCUGUAAUCCUCUUAUAAUGAUGAUGAUUGCAUAUUUCUUUAUAGGGUCAUUUAUCAAAUACAUAUGUAAUUUCUAUAGAAAAUUUAUUCUUAAGAUAGAGAUAACUAAACUGAUGGAAUAUAUCAUGUUAAUCUUUAUUUGAUAUUAAAAUAAUUGUUAAGAUUACAAGGAUAAGAUGGAGCUUCAAGAAAUACUAAUUAAUGAUAAUGACAUGUAUGUAUGGCAUCUCAUAAAUGAACAGUGUACGCUUUUAAAUAAUAUAUACAAAUACUUAUUCUUGCCAUUUUGUAGUUAACUUUUCUGAACUGUUUCAAGAAAUAGGGUAGUCCUUUGUGUAGUAUUCAUUUUAAUUAUAUGACAAUUAUAUAUAGAUGUUGCAAGAUCUGGUAAAAUCUCAUUAAAUUGUCAUAGUUCAGUCUGACAGAUAUGUGCUUCUAAACUAUAGAUGAUGGCAAGAGAAAUGAGUAACUCAUUUUCUACACUUUUUGUAAAGACUGGGCUUCAUGAUGAUAGUCGUGAACGUGCUCUGUUACUUUAAAAAAUUGACUAUUAGAAGCAAAAGAGUAGCCUAGAUAAUAAAAUUACAUUUCAACAUUUUCUCUCGGAUAAAUUCUGGUUAUAAUCAGUGGACAUCUGUUCAUUUUUAAACUUUAAUGUUUGUUUACUUUGAGUUUGUAGCUUAAGAUAAAAAUUCCAGACAGUUUAAUAACAAAGAGUAAGUUUGUCAUUUAAAACAAAUGCCUUAAUCAAAAUUUCCAUAUAACAAAGUUAUUUUCACGCUCUGGUUAUUGGCACAUUUAAUUCAAACACUAUUUCAUAGAGUAAAUUUUCAGGAUAAAUUGAACUUAAUCAUGGUGGUUUGGUAAUGGAAUUCGGUCCUAGAUCUCUUUUCUUUUCUUUAGGCUCUGAUUUUUUAAAAAUCUUGAUUGGAUGCAUUAAAAAUCAGAGAAUCUGCAUGAUAAUCAAGAGGAACAGCAGAGAACAGUUCUUGGUUAGAAAGAAACUGUACCAUAGGUAGAAAAAUAUGAAGAGAUAUCUUUGUACUAGGUUAUCCUCUCUGAGCAUGAAUAUAGUAUUUGUGUAAGGUAAAACUGACUUUUUAAAAUGAGGUGCAUAUGCUGCAUGGCACUGGGAAAUGGACAUCAAACCUGCGUGUCCAUCUUGUGCUGAAUGUCCUUGCUUAGUAAAUUUCAUUUUAACCGUAAAAAGAAGCACAUAUUGGAAGGAAAACUGACUUCCAAUAAGCAUUUCUCAUAAAAAUGUUUUUCUAUAGUGUGCAUUUAGAGAACUUCCAGAAGACACUGAUAAUCCAGCUGAGAGCUUAUGAAAAAUAUAUAUAUGAUAGCUUUUAAAUGGUUUUCCAAUUACCAGCCUAAUUCUAUGGUGAUUUCAAAACAUACCAUGAAUCAAUAUUACAGAAUAAUGUCUUAAUGUUUGAUUGUUGAUACAAUAUGUAUCAAAUCAUAGAUGUUAGUUCUAUCUCAUUAUACAAAUAUUUUCAAAGACUUCCAUUUAGGUUAUACAAAGCCCUUAAGUGUGAAAAAUGACAUACUGCAAUUAUCUAUCUUUUGUUGAAAAUUUAACUACAAAAUAACAAGAGUAAGUGUUUGUAUAUGUUAUUUAAAAGCUUACAUUGUCUGUGAGAUGCCAUGCACAUAUGUCAUUAUCAUUGAUUAGUAUUUCUUGAAGCUCCAUAUCAUCCUGUAGCCUCAACAAUUAUUUUAACAUCAAAUAAAGAUUAAUAAUAAAUUAUAGUAAUUUAGUCAUCUCUAAUUUACCCAGAGAAUACAUUUCCCAUAGAAAUUAUAUAUGCAUUUGAUAAAUGACCUGUUAAAGAAAUAUGCCAUCAUCAUCAUUAUAAAGGAAUUACAGGCUUUUAGACUAAAAAAAGGUGUUAAAUGUAAUGUGGUAUUACUCUUUGGUUUUCAAAUAGAAACAAUUAAUUAAAUGACUUUCUCAACCCCGUUGCAUCUAAUUAGUUCAAUUUCCCAUUCUUUUUGGUAAUACAAAUUUGGAAGAAGUCUAUACUAUUAUUUUCUACAUUAGUUCAACUUAGAGCCACAAUCUAUAUUCCUCUUUAGUUCAAAAGUCAUUUUUCAAAGAUGCACUAUCUUAGGAUUAAAUUGUAUUCAUAGACCCUCAUUGAAUAAAUUAUAUCCAAUUAACUAUAUUUAUUUAACAGUUUAUGAUUUUUAAAUAUCAUGACUUUUUAAAAUCUCUAAUUUAUUUGCCUUCUACAUGUACUAGGUUAGUUUCUGCAAAAAUAUAAGGGAACUAAGUAUUGUGAUCUGGCCAUAGUGCUGUUCAGAGGCUAGUUGGGAAAUUGAGGGUGCUUGCUAUAUUUUUGAAAGUGUACUCCUUAAUAUGUGGUUUGAUUUUAAUUCAACCAACAUUUGUUCAGAAUAUACUAUUAGUAAAGCCUUGUAUUCACAUUUAUGUGAUAUGUAAUCAUGAAAAAGACAUUGACUCUGCCAUAUACAUAUUCAUAACUUAGAAGAGGAGAUAAACAUGAAAAUCUGGUAAGUCAAGCAACUAAGUUGAGAAUAUAAGGAUAGUAGAGAUUAAUUCUAGUUGGAAUUGAGGAAUUGGGAAGAAACCAUGUGAUAGUAGGAUAAAAGCUAAGAGCUUAAAUUUGGAGGACAUUUUCUAGUAGCUGAAAUGGGGAGACAUGCAAUGUAGUUAGGCCCAAGGUUGGUUUGCAUGGGAAGAAAUUGGAUUUGAUUAUAAUUAUUAUUAUUAGUAGUAGUAGUAGACAUCGUCAUAGUUGUAGUCAUAGUUGUAUUUUAUGAAGGGUAUUUGCAUAAUUCUAUAAUUAAUUAUUGAGAUGCAUUUUGUGAAAACAAAGAGAAUUAAAUCAUAGCAAAAUGGGAAAAAUUAUCUAACAUUCCUCUGCCUUUCCUUUUGGUGUCCUUUGGCUUGGUUUGGUGUCCUGAGACAUUUGCCUGUGGUGAUCUACCUCCAUGGUCACCAUGCUGUAGUAAUAAGUGUGCAAGUUUGAAAAUCAGAUGACCUGGCCUGGAGUCCUGACUCUACCCCUCACAAAAAAUUCAUAUUGAUGAACCUAGACUUUCAAGACAUGGCUAAAUUAUGUCCAAAACAAGCUUCUUAUACUGAAAUUCUGCUCUGACUGUAGGAUCAAGUACACAGAAUAUUUGACAACGUCUGGAGACAGUGUCUGGCUUGUCACAGUUGGGGAAGAUACCACAGAUAUCUCGUGGGUAGAAGCCGGGGUGCAGUUAAAUAUCCUAUGAAGCAUAUAAUGCUGUUCUCUACAACAAAGAAUUGUCUGACGUUGCUGAAGUUAAGAAACUCUGGACCAAGGUUUUUGGCCUGAACAGAGGAAAGAAUGAUGCUACCAGUAACAGAAUGAGGGCGCUGCUAGUGCAGUAUAGUUUGCAAAAAGGAAACCAGAGUUCUGUCUUUUUGAAGUGCCUAUCAGAUUUUCAAGGCCAAUGUCAAAUAUUACAAUAUCAUAAAGUAAAAAUAAGAUUAAAGUUUAUCUGUUGUUAAAUUAAUGUUUAAAUAAUUCCUUUAGAAAUUAAAUUUCUAUAAAAUGGAAA
This is a long non-coding RNA of Homo sapiens (human), 4524 nucleotides long. RefSeq lists it as uncharacterized. Lineage: Eukaryota; Metazoa; Chordata; Mammalia; Primates; Hominidae. The transcript is spliced from 4 exons. The record is from RefSeq and is a predicted model, not a curated record.